UUACAUAUAUGGAGAAAGCUUUAAGCUCCAGUGUUACAGAUGUGGAGAAAGCUCCAAGCUCUAUGGUUACAGAUAUGGAGAAAGUUUCAAGCUUUAGGCUUAUAGAUAUGGAGAAACACAACGAUCCUUUCUCUUUCAUCAUGGACGGUAGUCAAAUUUCACACUCCCAAGAAGAACUAUUGCGUCAUCAACCUUUCUUCGGACAAGUUAAUCAACCUUCUCAUCCUUCCACCACUAGCGGCGCCGACCUAAUUACCAUGAUGUCAAUGCUACAGACUCAACCCACUGAAAAAGACAGUCCUACCCCUAAAGACUAAGAUGUUUUUCUCACUUCACUUGAUAAAUUGUUUUCGCUUCCCAUCUCCGACAAUCCUGAUCUAUUUGGUAUGUGAUUUAUGUUGGAUUCAUUUAUUUCAGUAAUGAGUUAUGAUAAAGUUUAUUCAAUCCUAUAAAAUUCUUUGUUUGAUAAUUCUGAAAUAUUUUAAUUUGGUGUGCUAUUUAGCAACACUAAUGUGAUGGUAAAUUAUAAUAGUACAUACUUUGUCCACCAAACAUAAUGUAACAUAAAAUUAAUUUUAAUAAAACGGACCAAACCCCAUGUUAAUUAUAUUUAUUGGAUUGCAUAAUUUUUUGGAACAGACUAAUCCAAAUGGACCGGGAACACUCCAAUAGACACUGAACUCAAGUACAACAAACAAAAUUAAUUUAAUAUUUGUUCGAAACUCAAACUUAACAUUUAACUAGAUAUAUUAAAUGAUCCAAACAAAUCAAUCCAAAACUAAAGAUUAAAGAUUAAGCUCAUAUACUAAAUAAGCCAAAUUUAAACUAAGUGACACGUUAGAUAUAUGAAUUAGCUUGAUUAUAUAUAGGUUUAUAAAUUUGUGUAUAUAUAAUUUUUUUAUUGUAUGUGUAUUAAAUAAAAUAAUUAUUAUAUGAGUUGAUGAAUUGGACAAGUUAAGCUAAUGAGUUAAAUAAAUAUUUUUGCAAAUUCUUGAUGAAUGCAGCCAAUUUAAG
This 1014-nucleotide long non-coding RNA is filed under the name Lupinus mutabilis. RNAcentral's name for it is "partial ncRNA". Lineage: Eukaryota; Viridiplantae; Streptophyta; Magnoliopsida; Fabales; Fabaceae. The record is from RNAcentral.